AACUUCCUGUUUGAUAAAACCAGAAAGAGACACAGAGAGAAGGAACAAACGGGGUCAGAACCAAACAAAAUCAGGCCAGAAAAGAAGAAGAGAGGAAGAAGAGGAACGCUGCCGUAGCAACUGAAGCAACAGCAGCAACAGCAGCAACAGCAACAUGGAGCAGCAGCAGGACAGACACGUUCAGCUGAAUGAUGGCAACCGCAUGCCGCUGCUGGGCCUGGGGACAUGGAAGGCCUUCCAUCAGGCGCCCGUCCAGCCCGCUGUGGAGGCCGCCAUCGCCGCCGGUUACCGCCACAUUGACACCGCCUUCAGCUACGGGAACGAGGUGGAGGUUGGCAAAGCGCUGCGCUCCAAGAUGGAGCAGGGCAUCAUCCGGCGGGAGGAUGUGUUCGUCGUCACCAAGCUAUGGUGCACGCACUUUGAGCCUGAGGACAUCCCCGUCUGCCUCAACCGCUCCCUGCAGGACCUGCAGCUGGAUUACCUGGACCUGUACCUCAUCCACUUCCCCGUCGGCUUCAAGGUCAGAUCAGAGAAAUCGGGAGACGAUCUGUUUCCAAGGAAGGACGGGAAGAUUGUGACGUCGGACACGGACUACGUGGACGUGUGGCGGGGUCUGGAGGCGCUGCAGGCUGCCGGCAGGGUGAGGAGUAUCGGCGUGUCCAACUUCAGCGUCCUGCAGCUGGAGCGCCUGCUGGCCCUCUGCAGGGUUCCUCCUGCUGUCAACCAGGUGGAGCUCCAUCCCUACAUGGUCCAGAAGGAUCUGGUCGAGUACUGCAGGUCCAAAAAAAUCGUGCUGACGGCCUACAGCCCCUUUGGCUCCCCUGGAAGACCCUCAGAGUUGAAGAGAGGCGAGGCCGACCCCCACAAGCUGCUGCAGGACCCGGUGGUCGCCGCCAUCGCAGGGAAGCACCGCCGCAGCCCGGCACAGGUUCUGCUGAGGUUUCAUGUGCAGCAGGGAAUCCCAGUCAUUCCUAAAAGUGACAAACCUCAUCACAUCCUGGAGAACACUAAGGUAAAGCCCAACAGAACCGGUCCAGAACCGUUUCCUCAGAUCCUCCCAGAGAGCCCCCGCCUCGGCCCAAAGCUUCCUGCCAGAGAUUCAUUCAGCUACCGAGAACGACCGGGAGGAAACCCAACGGCGAGACGCGCCUGCCGACCCCGUCGCCGGGCAUGCCGUCACUAGACAUGCCGACCCCGACCCCGUCACCGGGCAUGCCGACCCCGUCGCCGGGCAUGCCGACCCCGUCGCCGGGCAUGCCGACCCCGUCGCCAGGCAUGCCGACCCCGUCGCCAGGCAUGCCGACCCCGACCCCAUUGCUAGGCAUGCCGACCCCGUCGCCGGGCAUGCCGACCCCGUCGCCGGGCAGGCCGACCCCGUCGCCGGGCAGGCCGACCCCGUCGCCGGGCAUGCCGACCCCGUCGCCAGGCAUGCCGACCUUUCAUAGAUUUUCCCCGACUCGGCGCCGCCGGGCGAGGCUCUCUGGGAAAACGGACCCGGUUCUACCAGAACUCCUUGAGGUUCUGAACCAGCCUGAACCUUGCAGGUCUUCGACUUCGACCUCGGCGAAGACGACAUGGACGCCCUGAGAGGCCUGGACCGCGGCUGGAAGGCCUGCUCUCUGGACGAAAUCAAGUCCCACCCCUACUACCCGUUCGAGUGACGGAGGGGGCGGAGCCAGCCGGACCGCAUGAUGGAGAUGAAGAACCACAUGACCCAAUCUGAAACAAAAACUUGGUUCUGGUGGUUCUGAUGCUUUUAUUACAGUACUGAGCACAUAAACCCCUCUGGAGUGUAAAGGUCCAGUCUGGCUGGUUCUGAUGAACCGCCAGAUUCGAUUCAUUUUUUAUACUUUGAUUCUUCCAGAGUUUCUGCUUAGAGCUAAAAAACAAAGUCUGUUCUGACCUCUGACCCGGAACCACAGACCUGGAACCAGAACCGUCGACCCGGCAUGCCGUCAUGUCGGCUUUCGGUUUCAAUCCGUCGGCCAUCUUUGAAUUUGCUGUUGAUUUUCUCAGAUACACACAAGCUCAAAUGUUUACAUACCCUCCCACUAAAUCUAAAUUCUUCCAGUCUAGAACCCGCCUGGUUCCGGGGUUCUUCUGGGUCCAACAACCAUAUUCUCAAUUCAGCUCAAACAGCAUGAUGCUGCCACUACCAUGCCUGGCAGCAGGUCCAGACAGAACCACAAGGUAUCAAAAGCUACUUGGUUCUGUCUGGACCUGCAGACCUGCUUCCUUCCCGUGGUUCUGGACCGCUCCGGAACAGAACCGUCUGCAGCGCUUUAGUUCUCCUGGAAACAUUUUAAAAAGCAAACAUCUGAUCAGAUUGUUUCUUCCUUUGAUCUUAAAUAAAUCUGAAGAAGCUGG
Molecule: RNA transcript, 2367 nt
Organism: Xiphophorus couchianus (Monterrey platyfish)
Lineage: Eukaryota; Metazoa; Chordata; Actinopteri; Cyprinodontiformes; Poeciliidae
Gene name: aldose reductase
Exons: 9
Source: RefSeq, a predicted model, not a curated record